GACGAACGCUGGCGGCGUGCCUAACACAUGCAAGUCGAGCGGGGAUAUAUGCUGGAGCGCUUCGGUGUGAAGGGAUAUAUCCUAGCGGCGGACGGGUGAGUAACGCGUGGGGAACCUGCCCUUAAGUUCGGGAUACCAACUCGAAAGGGUUGUUAAUACCGGAUGUGCUGCAUUAGCCGCAUGGCGGAUGUAGUAAAGGGGAGACCCGCUUAAGGAUGGCCCUGCGUUCCAUUAGCUAGUUGGUGGGGUAACGGCCUACCAAGGCGACGAUGGAUAGCCGGCCUGAGAGGGCGACCGGCCACACUGGGACUGAGACACGGCCCAGACUCCUACGGGGGGCAGCAGUGGGGAAUCUUGCACAAUGGGCGGAAGCCUGAUGCAGCGACGCCGCGUGAGGGACGAAGGUCUUCGGAUCGUAAACCUCUGUCCAAAGGGACGAAGGAGUGACGGUACCUUUGGAGGAAGCCCCGGCCAACUACGUGCCAGCAGCCGCGGUAA
This 498-nucleotide ribosomal RNA is filed under the name uncultured bacterium. Its description in RNAcentral is "bacterial SSU rRNA". It matches the Rfam family "Bacterial small subunit ribosomal RNA", at positions 28 to 523 of the family's 1533-position model. The record is from RNAcentral.